CGCCUGGGGAGUACGGCCGCAAGGUUAAAACUCAAAUGAAUUGACGGGGGCCCGCACAAGCGGUGGAGCAUGUGGUUUAAUUCGAUGCAACGCGAAGAACCUUACCUACUCUUGACAUCCUGCGAAUUCGGUAGAGAUACCUUAGUGCCUUCGGGAACGCAGAGACAGGUGCUGCAUGGCUGUCGUCAGCUCGUGUUGUGAAAUGUUGGGUUAAGUCCCGUAACGAGCGCAACCCUUGUCCUUAUUUGCCAGCGCGUAAUGGCGGGAACUCUAAGGAGACUGCCGGUGACAAACCGGAGGAAGGUGGGGACGACGUCAAGUCAUCAUGGCCCUUACGAGUAGGGCUACACACGUGCUACAAUGGUCGGUACAAAGGGUUGCCAACUCGCGAGAGUGAGCCAAUCCCGAAAAGCCGAUCUCAGUCCGGAUCGGAGUCUGCAACUCGACUCCGUGAAGUCGGAAUCGCUAGUAAUCGUGGAUCAGAAUGCCACGGUGAAUACGUUCCCGGGCCUUGUACACACCGCCCGUCACACCAUGGGAGUGGACUGCACCAGAAGUGGUUAGCCUAACGCAAGAGGGCGAUCACCACGGUGUGGUUCAUGACUGGGGUGAAGUCGUAACAAGGUAACCGUA
RNAcentral lists this ribosomal RNA (633 nucleotides) under uncultured Halomonas sp. Its description in RNAcentral is "bacterial SSU rRNA". It matches the Rfam family "Bacterial small subunit ribosomal RNA", at positions 870 to 1504 of the family's 1533-position model. Lineage: Bacteria; Pseudomonadati; Pseudomonadota; Gammaproteobacteria; Oceanospirillales; Halomonadaceae. The record is from RNAcentral.